UGGUAAAAUAAUACCACCAUACCACACCAAACACAGCAAGCUCAUCUGAUUUUGUAAGUUAAGCAAGGCUGGGCAUGGUUAGUAUUUGGCUGGGAGUCCAGAAGUGAAUAGCACAGAAUCUCCAA
RNAcentral lists this ribosomal RNA (125 nucleotides) under Pogona vitticeps (central bearded dragon). Lineage: Eukaryota; Metazoa; Chordata; Lepidosauria; Squamata; Agamidae. The record is from RNAcentral.